RNAcentral lists this ribosomal RNA (473 nucleotides) under uncultured organism. RNAcentral's name for it is "partial 16S ribosomal RNA". It matches the Rfam family "Bacterial small subunit ribosomal RNA", at positions 332 to 797 of the family's 1533-position model. The record is from RNAcentral.
UACACUCCUGCGGGAGGCAGCAGUGGGGAAUUUUGGACAAUGGGCGAAAGCCUGAUCCAGCCAUGCCGCGUGCAGGAUGAAGGCCUUCGGGUUGUAAACUGCUUUUGUACGGAACGAAACGGCCUUUUCUAAUAAAGAGGGCUAAUGACGGUACCGUAAGAAUAAGCACCGGCUAACUACGUGCCAGCAGCCGCGGUAAUACGUAGGGUGCAAGCGUUAAUCGGAAUUACUGGGCGUAAAGCGUGCGCAGGCGGUUAUGUAAGACAGUUGUGAAAUCCCCGGGCUCAACCUGGGAACUGCAUCUGUGACUGCAUAGCUAGAGUACGGUAGAGGGGUAUGGAAUUCCGCGUGUAGCAGUGAAAUGCGUAGAUAUGCGGAGGAACACCGAUGGCGAAGGCAAUCCCCUGGACCUGUACUGACGCUCAUGCACGAAAGCGUGGGGAGCAAACAGGAUUAGAUACCCGAGUAGUCCC